GGAGAGAUGGCUGAGUGGUCGAAAGCAGCAGGUUGCUAACUUGUCGUACAUGGCAACAUGUACCGUGGGUUCGAAUCCCACUCUCUCCGCCA
Molecule: transfer RNA, 92 nt
Filed under: Verrucomicrobiota bacterium
Lineage: Bacteria; Pseudomonadati; Verrucomicrobiota
Description: tRNA-Ser
Rfam family: tRNA
About the family: Transfer RNA (tRNA) molecules are approximately 80 nucleotides in length. Their secondary structure includes four short double-helical elements and three loops (D, anti-codon, and T loops). Further hydrogen bonds mediate the characteristic L-shaped molecular structure. tRNAs have two regions of fundamental functional importance: the anti-codon, which is responsible for specific mRNA codon recognition, and the 3' end, to which the tRNAs corresponding amino acid is attached (by aminoacyl-tRNA synthetases). tRNAs cope with the degeneracy of the genetic code in two manners: having more than one tRNA (with a specific anti-codon) for a particular amino acid; and 'wobble' base-pairing, i.e. permitting non-standard base-pairing at the 3rd anti-codon position.
Source: RNAcentral